UUAAAACAAGGUGCAAAUAAUC
This 22-nucleotide non-coding RNA is filed under the name Rattus norvegicus (Norway rat). The record is from RNAcentral. Lineage: Eukaryota; Metazoa; Chordata; Mammalia; Rodentia; Muridae.